Molecule: ribosomal RNA, 466 nt
Filed under: uncultured bacterium
Lineage: Bacteria
Description: partial 16S ribosomal RNA
Rfam family: Bacterial small subunit ribosomal RNA
Source: RNAcentral
GACGAACGCUGGCGGCGUGCUUAACACAUGCAAGUCGAACGGUAAGGCUCCAGCUUGCUGGGGUACACGAGUGGCGAACGGGUGAGUAACACGUGGGUGACCUGCCCUGCACUUCGGGAUAAGCCUGGGAAACUGGGUCUAAUACCGGAUAGGACCAUGGUGUGGAUACUGUGGUGGAAAGUUUUCUCGGUGUGGGAUGGGCCCGCGGCCUAUCAGCUUGUUGGUGGGGUAAUGGCCUACCAAGGCGGCGACGGGUAGCCGGCCUGAGAGGGUGGACGGCCACAUUGGGACUGAGACACGGCCCAGACUCCUACGGGAGGCAGCAGUGGGGAAUAUUGCACAAUGGGCGGAAGCCUGAUGCAGCGACGCCGCGUGGGGGAUGACGGCCUUCGGGUUGUAAACUCCUUUCACCAUCGACGAAGGGUUUCUGACGGUAGAUGGAGAAGAAGCACCGGCUAACUACGUG